AUUGAACGCUGGCGGAAUGCUUUACACAUGCAAGUCGAACGGCAGCACGGACUUCGGUCUGGUGGCGAGUGGCGAACGGGUGAGUAAUGUAUCGGAACGUGCCCAGUCGUGGGGGAUAACGUAGUGAAAAUUACGCUAAUACCGCAUACGAUCUAUGGAUGAAAGCGGGGGAUCGCAAGACCUCGCGCGAUUGGAGCGGCCGAUAUCAGAUUAGGUAGUUGGUGGGGUAAAGGCCCACCAAGCCAACGAUCUGUAGCUGGUCUGAGAAGACGACCAGCCACACUGGAACUGAGACACGGUCCAGAGUCCUACGGGAGGCAGCAGUGGGGAAUUUUGGACAAUGGGCGAAAGCCUGAUCCAGCCAUUCCGCGUGCAGGAUGAAGGCCCUCGGGUUGUAAACUGCUUUUGUACAGAACGAAAAGGUUUCUACUAAUACUAGGAGCUCAUGACGGUACUGUAAGAAUAAGCACCGGCUAACUACGUGCCAGCCGCCGCUGUAA
This 500-nucleotide ribosomal RNA is filed under the name uncultured bacterium. Its description in RNAcentral is "partial 16S ribosomal RNA". It matches the Rfam family "Bacterial small subunit ribosomal RNA", at positions 30 to 523 of the family's 1533-position model. The record is from RNAcentral.